Molecule: ribosomal RNA, 468 nt
Filed under: uncultured bacterium
Lineage: Bacteria
Description: partial 16S ribosomal RNA
Rfam family: Bacterial small subunit ribosomal RNA
Source: RNAcentral
GACGAACGCUGGCGGCGUGCUUAACACAUGCAAGUCGAACGGAAAGGCCCUGCUUUUGUGGGGUGCUCGAGUGGCGAACGGGUGAGUAACACGUGAGUAACCUGCCCUUGACUUUGGGAUAACUUCAGGAAACUGGGGCUAAUACCGGAUAGGAGCUCCUGCUGCAUGGUGUGGGUUGGAAAGUUUCGUCGGUUGGGGAUGGACUCGCGGCUUAUCAGCUUGUUGGUGGGGUAGUGGCUUACCAAGGCUUUGACGGGUAGCCGGCCUGAGAGGGUGACCGGCCAAAUUGGGACUGAGAUACGGCCAAGACUCCUACGGGAGGCAGCAGUGGGGAAUAUUGAACAAUGGGCGGAAGCCUGAUGAAGCAACGCCGCGUGCGGGAUGACGGCCUUCGGGUUGUAAACCGCUUUCGCCUGUGACGAAGCGUGAGUGACGGUAAUGGGUAAAGAAGCACCGGCUAACUACGUG